This 440-nucleotide long non-coding RNA is filed under the name Oryza sativa Indica Group (long-grained rice). Its description in RNAcentral is "lncRNA OsGoSa_06g0005000". Lineage: Eukaryota; Viridiplantae; Streptophyta; Magnoliopsida; Poales; Poaceae. The record is from RNAcentral.
GAGUUUAUGUCCACAUAUGAUAUAUGUCAUCUACAUAUGAAUAUAUCCAAUUGGAUAUAUGUUGGAUCAGUGCUCAUGAUAAAUUCACCGCUAAAGUCUUGUUUGUAUAAUCCCUCACACAAGAGGUUGAAGGAGAUUUGUAGGAGAUUAAUUCUACACCUCCCCUCCAAUCUCUCUCUUGGGGGAUGAAUCGCACAAGACCUAAGUCCUAAGGGUGACAUUUCUUUCAAUCACUCUAUAUACCUAUACAUAUAUAGUGUGCAUGUGUAUGUGGCCUAGGCCCAAAAGUUUACCUCACUAGUGCCCCGUUAUGUUUCUCUCAGUGCUGUAUACAUUUAUGUGUUGUGCUACAUUCGCUACAUAUGUACGUGGUUUAUAUAUGAUUAUUAUAUAUAAAUAAAAGACUACUGUGAUGUAUUGUGCUUAAAUGCACGAAAGCC